RNAcentral lists this ribosomal RNA (253 nucleotides) under uncultured bacterium. RNAcentral's name for it is "partial 16S ribosomal RNA". It matches the Rfam family "Bacterial small subunit ribosomal RNA", at positions 524 to 776 of the family's 1533-position model. The record is from RNAcentral.
UACGUAGGGUGCAAGCAUUGAUCGGAAUUACUGGGCGUAAAUGGCGCGUAGGCGGCUUAGAAAGUCAGAUGUGAAAUUCCGGGGCUCAACCCCGGAGCUGCCUUUGAAACUUCUAAACUUGAGUACAGUUAGGGUAAACGGAAUUCCAUGUGUAGCGGUGAAAUGCGUAGAUAUGAGGAAGAACACCGGUGGUGAAGACGGUUUACUGGGCUGAAACUGACGCUGAGGCGCGAAAGCAUGGGGAGCAAACAGG